This 420-nucleotide ribosomal RNA is filed under the name uncultured bacterium. Its description in RNAcentral is "bacterial SSU rRNA". It matches the Rfam family "Bacterial small subunit ribosomal RNA", at positions 358 to 770 of the family's 1533-position model. The record is from RNAcentral.
GGAAUCUUCCACAAUGGACGAAAGUCUGGUGGAGCAACGCUGCGUGAGUGAUGAAGGGUUUCGGCUCGUAAAACUCUGUUGUUGGAGAAGAACAGGUGUCAGAGUAACUGUUGACAGCUUGACGGUAUCCAACCAGAAAGCCACGGCUAACUACGUGCCAGCAGCCGCGGUAAUACGUAGGUGGCAAGCGUUGUCCGGAUUUAUUGGGCGUAAAGCGAGCGCAGGCGGUUUUUUAGGUCUGAUGUGAAAGCCUUCGGCUUAACCGGAGAAGUGCAUCGGCAACCGGGAGACUUGAGUGCAGAAGAGGACAGUGGAACUCCAUGCGCAGCGGUGAAAUGCGUAGAUAUAUGGAAGAACACCAGUGGCGAAGGCGGCUGUCUGGUCUGUAACUGACGCUGAGGCUCAAAAGCAUGGGUAGCG